Equus quagga is the source of this 326-nucleotide long non-coding RNA. RefSeq lists it as uncharacterized. The transcript has 3 exons. The record is from RefSeq and is a predicted model, not a curated record. Lineage: Eukaryota; Metazoa; Chordata; Mammalia; Perissodactyla; Equidae.
CUCAGCAGCGACAGAAGCUCCUAUGCUCAGGACCUUCCCAGACUUCCCCCAAGUGUCUCUUCAUCUGGUUGUUCAUCUGUAUCCUUUAUCAUAUCCUGUCAUAAACUGGUCAAGCCCAACCCUUUGAGGUGGGUCCUGUUAUCUCCAAAUUAUAGAUGAGAAGACUGAGGGUCAGAAAGGAGCUGUUGUUUGGAACAGGUUAACACAGAACUCAACCCCAGGACCAAACCCAGAGGGGACUUAGGAAAAGCCGGGAAGCCAAGGCUCUGCACCCUUGUCCUCAGGAGUUCCUGGAUAGCUGAGACACUCGUCUGACUGGGUACAGG